This 90-nucleotide transfer RNA is filed under the name Deltaproteobacteria bacterium. RNAcentral describes it as "tRNA-Ser". It matches the Rfam family "tRNA". From Rfam's summary of the family: Transfer RNA (tRNA) molecules are approximately 80 nucleotides in length. Their secondary structure includes four short double-helical elements and three loops (D, anti-codon, and T loops). Lineage: Bacteria; Pseudomonadati; Myxococcota; Myxococcia. The record is from RNAcentral.
GGUAGGAUGGCCGAGUGGUUUAAGGCGCUGGUCUUGAAAACCAGAGGUCCGGCAACGGUCCCGGGGGUUCGAAUCCCUCUCCUACCGCCA